CGCUGAAGAGAGGAGCUUGCUCUUCUUGGAUGAGUUGCGAACGGGUGAGUAACGCGUAGGUAACCUGCCUUGUAGCGGGGGAUAACUAUUGGAAACGAUAGCUAAUACCGCAUAACAAUGGAUGACACAUGUCAUUUAUUUGAAAGGGGCAAUUGCUCCACUACAAGAUGGACCUGCGUUGUAUUAGCUAGUAGGUGAGGUAACGGCUCACCUAGGCGACGAUACAUAGCCGACCUGAGAGGGUGAUCGGCCACACUGGGACUGAGACACGGCCCAGACUCCUACGGGAGGCAGCAGUAGGGAAUCUUCGGCAAUGGGGGCAACCCUGACCGAGCAACGCCGCGUGAGUGAAGAAGGUUUUCGGAUCGUAAAGCCCUGUUGUAAGUCAAGGACGAGUGUGAGAGUGGAAAGUUCACACUGUGACGGUAGCUUACCAGAAAGGGACGGCUAACUACGUGCCAGCAGCCGCGGUAAUACGUAGGUCCCGAGCGUUGUCCGGAUUUAUUGGGCGUAAAGCGAGCGCAGGCGGUUUGAUAAGUCUGAAGUUAAAGGCUGUGGCCCAACCAUAGUUCGCUUUGGAAACUGUCAAACUUGAGUGCAGAAGGGGAGAGUGGAAUUCCAUGUGUAGCGGUGAAAUGCGUAGAUAUAUGGAGGAACACCGGUGGCGAAAGCGGCUCUCUGGUCUGUAACUGACGCUGAGGCUCGAAAGCGUGGGGAGCGAACAGGAUUAGAUACCCUGGUAGUCCACGCCGUAAACGAUGAGUGCUAGGUGUUGGAUCCUUUCCGGGAUUCAGUGCCGCAGCUAACGCAUUAAGCACUCCGCCUGGAGAGUACGACCGCAAGGUUGAAACUCAAAGGAAUUGACGGGGGCCCGCACAAGCGGUGGAGCAUGUGGUUUAAUUCGAAGCAACGCGAAGAACCCUACCAGGUCUUGACAUCCCGAUGCUAUUUCUAGAGAUAGAAAGUUACUUCGGUACAUCGGUGACAGGUGGUGCAUGGUUGUCGUCAGCUCGUGUCGUGAGAUGUUGGGUUAAGUCCCGCAACGAGCGCAACCCCUAUUGUUAGUUGCCAUCAUUCAGUUGGGCACUCUAGCGAGACUGCCGGUAAUAAACCGGAGGAAGGUGGGGAUGACGUCAAAUCAUCAUGCCCCUUAUGACCUGGGCUACACACGUGCUACAAUGGUUGGUACAACGAGUUGCGAGUCGGUGACGGCAAGCUAAUCUCUUAAAGCCAAUCUCAGUUCGGAUUGUAGGCUGCAACUCGCCUACAUGAAGUCGGAAUCGCUAGUAAUCGCGGAUCAGCACGCCGCGGUGAAUACGUUCCCGGGCCUUGUACACACCGCCCGUCACACCACGAGAGUUUGUAACACCCGAAGUCGGUGAGGUAACCUUUGGAGCCAGCCGC
Molecule: ribosomal RNA, 1404 nt
Filed under: uncultured bacterium
Lineage: Bacteria
Description: bacterial SSU rRNA
Rfam family: Bacterial small subunit ribosomal RNA
Source: RNAcentral